RNAcentral lists this long non-coding RNA (523 nucleotides) under Gallus gallus (chicken). RNAcentral's name for it is "lncRNA (ENSGALG00010020150.1)". Lineage: Eukaryota; Metazoa; Chordata; Aves; Galliformes; Phasianidae. The record is from RNAcentral.
CUGUGGUCUUCCUAGAAAUGGCAUGAGGACAGGAUUGAGUGUGCCGUCCCUCUGCUGGAAGGAAGGCAACUUCCGUCUGCUAAAUCCCGUGUUAUGAGAACAUUUGGUAUUUGAUUACAGUCAGCAACUUAUCAUUUCAUCUUCCAUUUUGUUGUUCAGUCAUGAGUUAAAUGUUUGGUAAGACAAGGGGGAAUGAUUUUAAACUAAGACAGGGGAGGUUUAGCUUGGAUAUGAGGAGGAAGUUUUUCACCCAGCGGGUGGUGACGCACUGAACAGGUUGCCCAAGGAGGCUGUGGAUGCCCCAUCCCUGCAGGCAUUCAAGGCCAGGCUGGAUGUGGCUCUGGGCAGCCUGGGCUGCUGGUUGGCGACCCUGCACAUAGCAGGGGGGUUGAAACGAGAUGAUGAUCUUAAGGGUCCCUUCCAAUCCAAACCAUUCUAUGAUUCUCUAAUUCUAUGAAAUUAAGGGAAUAAAUUAUAUAGGUGAAGAACAGAAUGGCAUGAACAAUUGAGUUUGAAAAGCCAC